CCACCAUCGACAACAAAUAUCACUACCAACCAUUAUUGUCAACUGCUACCACACUUACUAUCUCUAUUAUUCUAAUUAUAUUCGCCGCCACCAUCGUCGUCAACACCACCACCAUCACAACCACUAACGACCAACCCCUACUACCGACCAACUUAUCUAUCACAACUAGCACCACCGCUAACUACCACUAAUACAUUACAACCUCCACACAUUCUUCGGCCGCCACUACCAUUGUCACUAGUAACACCACCUCUACCACCAC
Molecule: long non-coding RNA, 262 nt
Filed under: Capsicum annuum
Lineage: Eukaryota; Viridiplantae; Streptophyta; Magnoliopsida; Solanales; Solanaceae
Description: long non-coding RNA (CANN_LNC022384)
Source: RNAcentral